RNAcentral lists this long non-coding RNA (1281 nucleotides) under Homo sapiens (human). Its description in RNAcentral is "HSALNT0107628". The record is from RNAcentral. Lineage: Eukaryota; Metazoa; Chordata; Mammalia; Primates; Hominidae.
GCUGGAUAACAGUGGAUCAUCAGAGAAUCCUAACGAAAUGUGUCUCAGGAUUGUCUCUUGGUGAACAGAGGGGGAAGCCUUUAUCUACCUCCUGCCAUGGUUCAAGGAUUACUCUACAGAGUUACUUCCCACACAGCUGGGUUGCAUUUGUGUGAGUUCCCACUGGUAUCCAUAUCAGAGAAACUGAAGCCAGAAGCUUCUAGGUUGUACCUGCAUGAAGCUGGUCAAAGCCUUUGAAGAACUGGACAUGGGAAUAAGAGGAUGGUGCUAGCAUAUAUAAGACUGAAACACCAAAGGCCUCCGUGGAAGUUAAUGAACUUCUGGUUAUGAGUUGGAUUCUUCAGCGGAGUAUUUGAGCCAUGCCUUGAGGCACAUACUUCAAGUUGCUGCAUCCAGUUUUAAACUCCAGAUUGAGCUUUACAUAUUAAACGUGCACAUUUGUUUUCACAUUUUUGAGCUUUGCCAGUGGCACCCUCUCUAAUUAAUCAUCCCGCAGGCUUAGAAAACUUCUGCCCAAUCCUUUCUGAUUUGUUAAAAGAAAGAGAGAAGGUUUUAGUCUGAAAAAGGCCUUAUCUGAUAGACAUCACAUUAUACGGAUUUUUACAUUUAAGUACAUUUUCUUUUUAAAUCCGGUGGCUUUCCCAAACUAGAAAGAUGGAGUGUUUGCAUACAUCCACCAACCACCAACAUCAGCAGAAAGAAAGCUUGAUACAGUAAAGGAAAGAAAUGGCAAUUUAACAGUUCUUUUAUUUUCCAUUCAGAUCACGUACACGUUAACCAAAUGAGGCCUCACAGCAUGGAAUCUGAUAUCAUAGCAAUGUUUUCAGGAAGCAAUAAUUUAAUACUCCUCAUUAAAAAGGGUCAUAAAAGAAUCCUAUUAAAACCAAUAUGAAUAAUAAACCUUGAAAAUGCUGCUUUAAAUUCCAAGAGGAUGGCGAAGAUCUGCGUCAGUAACAGUCUUCCUGUUCAUAGAGUGAUUUUGAAAAUCUCCUGGGCUGAAUUUUUCCAAGCCAAGCAGGCAUCUCACUAUCCAGUGAAAGACCCAGGGACUAUUUUGAAUGCAUUCAAUCCAAGCCUGUGCCUUCCACAAUCAGUUUUCUCCAAGAAUUUAUCCCUAAUCCUGACAGGAUACCCAACCGAAAGGCUAAUUAUUUUUAAUCACUUAAUUAAUAGAUAAUUCUUACAAAGAGCCCAACACCUGAACCCACCAAGUCCUCUUUGCAUGGGCAAAUCCAGCUGGUUUGAUGCACUAAUUUCACUAAAUGAAAAUUUGGACAAAUU